UCACUAAACAGUAUAUCUUAUUCCGGAAGGAAAACAACAAAAUAUAUGUUUGAACAUAUAGGAUUACUAGGCAAUCUAAUUCGAGCAUUGGCCCUUCUUCGUCUAAUAAGGUAUCUUAUUUUGUGGUCUCCCAAAUUUGGAGUGGCAAUAGUUGUUCCCUCAAAAUUAACAUUUAAGCCAACUUGUAAAAAAUGAAUUAAGAAAACUUGCAAGAAUGUUAUUCAUACUUAAUGAGUUUGUCCAUAUAUCUUCUGCCAUUGUCCAAGCUUGUUUAUGAGUUGUCACGUCUUCCACAACCCAUUUCAAUUCAAGAAAAUUCACAACACAAAACCCACCUAACAAAAUAAAUAUAAACAACAAUAGAAAAUCAUUCAAAUAGUUCAAAGUAAGUCUAUAAUGAUUUAUUUAGAUCUAAUCAAGAUCCCAAUCAAGUAAAUAAAACAUCAAGGUUUGUUCACUUAACACACCCCAAAUUUUUACAUGGAUUUGGUUUCAAAUUACAAAAAAAAAAACAAAAAAACAAAAAACAAAACGAACGAACAAACAAACAUGGAUGUGAAAUGUGAACAAAGCUAAAAAUUAAUAAACUUGAAAAGUGCUUCAAUAAAGUGGAAAAUGUUGGUGUAGAAAAACAUGGUACGAGAUAACACAAGAAUUAACGCAUGCAAUAAAAAAAAAAAGAAUUAACAGGUGAAACUUCAAAUGAAGUACUCAAAUAAAACCCAGUACAUCUUAUUCCAUUUCAAAAACUAUAAAUUUGGAAAAAUAAUUUUCUCCUAUUUUCUUAAUUUUACCUUUCUGGGUUCCUCUUUGUUCGUGCUCAGAGUUAGAUCUGAGACUUUCAAGAAGUCACACAUUUAUUGAUGCUUAUUGAAAGAGAAAAUGAACUGCAGAUACACAGAGAUAAAUCGCCGGAACUUGAAACUUAGCCGGAGAAGAGAAUAGAUUCCCACAAAUUGUGCUGAAUUUGAAGCUUACCCAGAAAAGAAAAUAUAUUUCUAAAAUCUUUACUCAAGUCUUCAUAGAUUUUAAGAAUGAUUUUCAGAUCUAGAAAGAAAGAGGAAAAAACGAAGUCUUUGGUAAAUAUUACAAAGAGAAAGAAGACGAGAAGAUCCCAUAUGAAAACCCACCAAUUUCCAAGCAGCACACUUAAUUCGGCUCAACUCAAUUGCCUCAGCUGACCACAACAUGCUCACUUCCAAGUAGCUCAAUUAAACCGGCUCAAUUCAAGGUGGCUGAGAUCACAAAUUCGGCUUGUGAACAGUAAAUUCGCAAUUGUCUCUUUUACUUUUAGUUAGAUAUGGAGUAAAAGGCUCACGCGGGGGGCGCAAAUAAUUGCAUUAAAUAGUGGAUUGAAUGUGCUCAUCGUUUAGACUCCCUCUAACCCAUCACCAAAUGGUAUGUCUAAUUCCUGAACACGAAAAUGACAAAUACUUGUUGAACAUAUAGGCUGAUAUGAAAUAAAAUGCAGUUC
RNAcentral lists this long non-coding RNA (1474 nucleotides) under Olea europaea (common olive). RNAcentral's name for it is "long non-coding RNA (OEUR_LNC003352)". Lineage: Eukaryota; Viridiplantae; Streptophyta; Magnoliopsida; Lamiales; Oleaceae. The record is from RNAcentral.